UGGGACCAUAGCUCAGCUGGGAGAGCACCUGCCUUACAAGCAGGGGGUCACAGGUUCGAGCCCNCUAGGUUCUAU
This 75-nucleotide transfer RNA is filed under the name Clostridioides difficile. RNAcentral describes it as "tRNA-Val(tac)". It matches the Rfam family "tRNA". Rfam says of the family: Transfer RNA (tRNA) molecules are approximately 80 nucleotides in length. Their secondary structure includes four short double-helical elements and three loops (D, anti-codon, and T loops). Lineage: Bacteria; Bacillati; Bacillota; Clostridia; Peptostreptococcales; Peptostreptococcaceae. The record is from RNAcentral.